Molecule: transfer RNA, 66 nt
Filed under: Lingula anatina
Lineage: Eukaryota; Metazoa; Brachiopoda; Lingulata; Lingulida; Lingulidae
Description: tRNA-Ala
Source: RNAcentral
GGCUUUGUAUUCUAAAUAAGGAAGUCCGAUUUGCACCCGGGAAGUGGUAGUCAAUACCCAGAGCCU